UGGAAGUAAAAAAGUCGUAACAAGGUCUCCGUUGGUGAACCAGCGGAGGGAUCAUUACCGAGUUUACAACUCCCAAACCCAAUGUGAACGUUACCAAACUGUUGCCUCGGCGGGGUCACGCCCCGGGUGCGUCGCAGCCCCGGAACCAGGCGCCCGCCGGAGGAACCAACCAAACUCUUUCUGUAGUCCCCUCGCGGACGUAUUUCUUACAGCUCUGAGCAAAAAUUCAAAAUGAAUCAAAACUUUCAACAACGGAUCUCUUGGUUCUGGCAUCGAUGAAGAACGCAGCGAAAUGCGAUAAGUAAUGUGAAUUGCAGAAUUCAGUGAAUCAUCGAAUCUUUGAACGCACAUUGCGCCCGCCAGUAUUCUGGCGGGCAUGCCUGUCCGAGCGUCAUUUCAACCCUCGAACCCCUCCGGGGGAUCGGCGUUGGGGAUCGGGACCCCUCACACGGGUGCCGGCCCCUAAAUACAGUGGCGGUCUCGCCGCAGCCUCUCCUGCGCAGUAGUUUGCACAACUCGCACCGGGAGCGCGGCGCGUCCACGUCCGUAAAACACCCAACUUUCUGAAAUGUUGACCUCGGAUC
This 584-nucleotide ribosomal RNA is filed under the name Trichoderma asperellum. RNAcentral's name for it is "eukaryotic LSU rRNA". The stretch from base 241 to 394 matches the Rfam family "5.8S ribosomal RNA". Lineage: Eukaryota; Fungi; Ascomycota; Sordariomycetes; Hypocreales; Hypocreaceae. The record is from RNAcentral.